CUCCAAACCACGUUGUUUGGGGAGUGAAAAAGUGAAAGCACACAUCGUGUCAUUAGAGCAGCAGGGCCCAGCUGCUGGGUCAACACUUCCGAAAACAGCGCUUCCUGGGGAGCCGCCGGAGCAUCUCAGAAUCUACGGCUUGACCUCCUGCCAAUUCUCAUGAACGUGCUUCAGAGUUGCACUUAGCCUGGAACAUGGCCUGACCUCUAUGGUAUGAAUAAGUGAGCUCCAUGAAGACAAUAAGAUCUCCUGAAAUUAUACAGUGAUGACCCAUGUGACAUCUUACACAAAUGGACAAUCAAUGGAGGGAAGUGGCAGCAAAAAUGAAAGUGAAGCAAAGAAAUGAAAAAUGAGAACGCAGGGAGUGAGAUUCAAAUCCAACAUAAAUGGAGGACCUGUGAGUAUUGUUUUCCUGAGCUUCUCCUCUGUCUCCUCUUGUGGCUGCACUUGACUGAGCAUUUCAGGAAAGAAUACAGAAUGCACUGC
Molecule: long non-coding RNA, 486 nt
Organism: Symphalangus syndactylus (siamang)
Lineage: Eukaryota; Metazoa; Chordata; Mammalia; Primates; Hylobatidae
Source: RefSeq, a predicted model, not a curated record